GAGAAAAAAGGAACGGCUGAAAAUCUGGGGAGAGAAGGGAGUGAACGGCAGAACUGAGAGCAAGAGAGAAAAGGGGCGGAGCUAGGAAGAAAGAAGGAGGACAAUCGAGAGAGAGAGCUAGUGGGGAGAGGGGGUUGAACGGCAAAAAGAAAAAACCCAGAAGAGAGGAAAUAGCGGCUGGGGUUAAGGAAAAAUAAAAAGGGGAAGCAAGUUUACGGCUGAAGGAGGAGGGAACGAAACAAGAGACUGGAGAAAGAAACCAUUGGGGUCUAAGGGAAAGUGAGGAACUAGAAGAGAGUAGAGUGAUUGGAGUAGCGGCUGGAAGAAAGAAAACUGAGCUAGGAGAGAGCCAAAGGGAAAACAGCAAGGAAGAAGAAUCAGGAGGAAAAAUCGAGAGAUCUGAGGAAGAGCAAGCGGAAAAGGAGAUCCAAGGCUGAAAACCCAGGUUCAGGCUUGGUCGUUGAUACCACCAUCGAACCCAGGCUGAAGUUGCGAGUCCGAAGGCGGUGAACAGGUAAUCUUCGACCCAUUUUUCGUUCAUGCCACUUCUCGUAUGAAACCUGUGAGUAUGGUUAUGAGGUCGAGGGAGAGACAGUCUACCUGCAAGGUUCACCAUUUUGUAGUGGUUUUCUCGCAUGUCACUUGUGUUUUACAAUCCAAAGCUGCUUUCUUUUAGUCGUUUGUUUGUUCCCUUCGGCUGUCUGAUGGUUCCGUUUUGAUUCCAUGAUUGACUGAUGAUUCUUCACGGAUGAAGUUAUAAGUCUGAGAGUUCUUAAGAUCGUAAACUACAAAAUUCGAUUUUUGAUUGAUGGUUUGGGCUGGACGUUUGGUAUUUGUUUGAGCUUGUUGGUAUGAAGCUUAGAAAUUGCAGUUUAGGAAACCAGAUUUCUGCUAAAAAUGCUUGAACUGUCCAACCCUUUAGCCGUUGAGUUAUUGAACUUGUUUCAUAGCCUUAUCAUGUUUACUUUUGAUGUUUCUUUUUGCCAUUGUUCCUUUUCCCUGUCUGGUGUAGUUAAAGCGUUAGUUUGAAGAAAAAAUAUCUGAUACAUGAUGAGUAGUCUUCUUGGAUGCUGUUGCUUAAUAUUUUAAAACAAGAAAAUGAAAUGAAGUUGCCUGCUGCAUUUAGUAGUUGUUCUCGUUGGUUUGGCCUGGUUUCUCCCAGAUCGAUCAAUGAGUGAGGAUUAUGUGGGUUGGGGCUGAUGAGAUAACAAAUUGUUAGAGUUUUCAUACGGACCUAAAUUGCAUGGAAUGAGCUGCGCAGUUCACAGCAGAAUUUCUGCUGCAAUUUCAUCUUUUCGGUCAGAUUGCAUUUUCCUUCUUUUUGCCUUUGUUUGUUUUUGAACUACCAUAGCUGUGGCUGUUUAGUCUAGGUAAUGUCCAGUCUUGUGCUACUUUGGCUGAAAUACCUGAAUUGGGAUCCAAUGCUUGCUGGAAAAUGAAUGAUUGAAGUUGUCAAACCAGUGUUGCACGCAUGUUUAUUCCAGAAAUUUGCAUGAUAUCUUCUUGGGUUUCUUGUUUGUUUGGAUUAUGAUGGUGGGUUUAGUUGUGGGCUUGGUCUAAAGUUGUGACGUUGAGUUUAAUUACAUCUAAUCAAGGUUGUGAUAAGAAUCUGAGUUUAUAAGAAAAUUGCUGCAAAGUUGUUUGGCCGGAAACAUUGCUGAAGCUGAAACCUUUUAUUGUUGCUUGCAUGUUAUUUCAGACCUGAAUAUGAUGUCUUUCUGGGUUGUUUGCUUGCUUGGAUCAUGGUUGCUCAAGCCAAAGUUGUUUGUUGCUUAAUCUUGGUCAAAGUUAUGUAUUUGAACCAGAAAAUUUGAGUCAGUUUGCAAGUAAAAAUGCAGCAGAUUUCACUUUCAGCUAUAGCAGUUUUCAUUCUUCAAUGUUUGCAUGUUCAUUCUUCAAUGUUUGAAUGAUUUCCACCUUUGUCUUUGCUGAUUUGGGAUGUUAAACUUAUGUUUUUACUGUCUAGUUUAAAGUUUUGGAUGUUAGCUUUGGUUAAGGUAUGUGAUUGGAUGUGGAGUUGGCAUUUGGGAGUGAAACAUGAAGGAAAUGCAGCUGAAUUGGCGCAGAAAUGAAAGGCUUCUACGUGUUUUGCAUGCAUGGAUAAUUUCAGAAUUGUCUCUUAACCCCCCAAGUCUCCCCUUGUUCUACUAUGACCCAAAUUUGAGAAAAACUAAUCAAUUGGGUCCCUGAGAUCUUUUGCAGCAAUGCAUUAUGGCCCAAUUACAUUUCUUUUUCUUGCAUUAGGUCCUAAGGUGGGUGUAUUUUGAGUCAUCAUUUGGCCUUUCAUUGUUUUGGGACUUUUGAAGCUCUUAAAUUUUUCAAUGGGUUUUUAUUUAGUUUGGUUGAUUAAUGGUUGCUAUUGAGUUUUCAAAAUGCAUGUUUAAAUCAUUCAUGGAUCCUUGUUCAUUCUUGGACCUUCGAAUUUCCAUAAAUGUUUGUUUGGAUCUUGUUAUUUACUUGGAGAACUUUUUGUGUUUUUUAAAUGUUUCAAUUAGGUUCAAAUGAUUGAGUUGUGCUUGCUUUUGGGUCUUUAGUAGAUGUUAUGCUUGGGGAUCGGAUGAUCAUGCCUUUUGCCUUGGUCUUUAAGUAGUUUUGACUUCAUUGAGUUGCAAUUGAGGGAAAGUUUGAUGUUUCGGUGGAUUCAAAUUGUUUAGUUUAUAUCUUAUCACUAAAUUGGUGCAUUAAUCUUUUGUUUUUGGUGAUUUUAGCCUAAGUUAGUCUUUUCUUGGGUGACUCUAGCCAAGUUGAGUUUGUUUACUUCCUUAGUAUCACCAACGGGGAGGUAUAAUCUCUUUUACCCCUUUUGUUUCUCUCUUAUGUGAACUAAUGUGUUAAUUGAAAUUUGCAUGUCUACUUGCUUUCCUAGCCUCUCCUUAUUUCCUUUCAUUUAUUUCAUUUACUUUUGAUUUUUAUUAAUGGGGUAUGUGUACACCUCUUGGCUUGUAAUAGAUAGGGCGUAGCAAGUAAUUUGGUCCAUUUUCCCUUUCCCCUUUGUUUUAGUUAGCAAAUGUAAUGGUUGCAUGCCUAUGUGUUAUAUGUUAAAUGCUUUAUUAGGAUCUUGCAUCUAGUCGAGCAUGAUAAGUGCUACAUGAUUUAGGUGAUUUGCAUGUCUACUCGCUUUUUGUAGUAUAGAUGAAUGGAAUGGAUGAAUGUACGUCACCACACUAGUCCAACGCUAGUUGUGGCUUCUUCUAUCGUUUCCACUAGUCCAACGCUAGUCGGAAUUCAUAGAAUGGGCUAGUCCAAUGCUAGACCCAAUAGGUUCUUUUUUCCCUUUUUCAUUAAGUGCAUGAUCACCACAUAUCACGCAUUUUUCCUUAGUUUAUCAUUUGGUAUGUUCCUCAAACCCCUUCCCCAUCACUUUAGGACUUGCAUCUCAUGCUAGUUAGGGUUCAUUUGCGUGAAAAUCCCCUUCCGAUAAGGGAAACGAGCGAGUGUGGCUACUCGAUAGCCUUAGCAUGUGACGCCCCGGAAAAAAUGAGUUUGAGAACCCGAAAAUUUUCUAAUUUUCUAGGGUUUAUUUAUUUAAUCGCCCGCCUUUUCUACAUUUUCUUGAUUAGAAAAAUUCCCCAGAUAAAGUUUAUGAGCAAAGAUAGUUUUAAAAUGAUUUUUCUAGUAUCGGUUAGUUUUGAGAAAUUAAGAGCGUAUUUUGAACGUGGGACCCGCAAGUGCGGUAAAUGUAAUAUAUUUUUGAUAACUUGUUGGAGUUUUGUGCUAAGUGAUAUUUUUCUACAAGGUGUUAAGAGAUAUUUAUGGAUUGGUGUGAGAGGGAACAAAGAGAUAGAGAUUCAUUAUUUAAGUGACAAGUGUCGCUUGGCCAUUGGGUGGAAUUUUUGACUUUUAUGCCAUGUCUUACCAUUUGACUUAAUAAACAAAAACUUUACCAAAAAUUUGCUCCAUUUCCAAGCUUCAUGGCCGAACCUCUCUCAAGAAAGGAAGAAAGGAAAGCUUUCAUCUUACUUCUUCAUUUCUUGCUUCAAUCAAACAAUUUAACCGAUUAAACUUGGAUUUGCUCCAUAAAAACCUUUCUCUUGGUAGUAUUAAGGUGUGUAGUGAAGUGGUUUGAGAAGCAAAGGUGCUAAGUUGGGUCUUUUCUUGGGUUUGUAAGGUAAGUGACUAAGGAACCUUUCCUUUGAUCUUGAUAAUGUUCAAUUAGUGAUUGGUGGUGGUUGAAUAAGUGAUUUUAUGGUUGAUUUCCUGAUUUUGGUUGAAAAUGAUGAAGUUUUAUUAUUUUUGGGGAUUUUUCUGUUUUCAUAUGGAUAUGAUUGUGUGGCUAUAUAUGAUGAUUGGAAUUGAUGUUUAAGGACUCUAUGAGGUGGAAAAAGUGAUUAAUUGCAAUCAAUUUCUGUUUUGGAAGAAAUUUCAGAAAAUCAGGGUUUUGUGAUGAACAUUCUGUCCGAAUUUUUAGGUCCUAGACAGAGGCCGAAUUGGCCUUUCCGUAAAACAUGAAAGUUGUAGGGAAUGACAUUUUAAAGGUGCCUACAAAAUUUCAGGUCAAUUGGAGCAGUGUGGAAUGAGAAAAGUCGAAGUUACUAUUGCUGUUCUGGUUUUGCCCGAAAUUGAGAAGUGCGUCUGUAAUUGGUUGUUUUGGCUGGAAUUGCUUCCGAAUUAGUUGUUGAGGCCUUCUGAUGAAAUUUAGCCCUGUUUCUUAGCUUUCAUCUGGUUUUGGAAUUGCUGGAUUUGGAUUUGGAGAGCCUGAGUUAUGAUGUUUCCGCUAGAAUGCGUUUUGUGAAUCUGUUUUUGUGAUUCUGGUGUGGUAUCUUGCAUUUUUGACCUGGUUACACUCGAAACUGGGUUGAGUGACCUUCUGUAAUAUUGUAAAACUAUCUCUUAGCUUCGAAACGGUGUAUCUUGCACCUUCAUCCGACAAUCGUAGUGCCUUUGGUACCAUUACCGCAAAAUGACGUCAAAACCUGUUUUUUUGGUUUUGAGCUUAACUUUCAUUUCCGGACUUCUUCCUAGCUUGACUUGUCUUUGUACUACUUGGAGCUUGCUGAAUGACUAUUGGAUGAACCUGUUGUUGUGUGUGUACCUUUGGGACUGGCUGAGGAAAUAAUGAAGCCAUGAUGGCUGGAAAAGUUAGCAAAUGUAGGGGAAGUGCUGUCCGAACUUUUAAAGGAUAUGUUUGCAUUGAGUUUGUGAUCUAAGACUUGGGUUUGAGCAAGGCAAUGAUACAUGAUGGAUGAUUUCUGAGCCAUUGAGGUGAGUGACCCUAAAUUGUUUCCAAAGUUACUUUUGAAAUGUUCCUUGCAUUGUUUCUUUGGUUUGCAUAUCAUGUGUGCGCGCAUACGAGUUCUUGACAUGGUUUGGCUUUAAUGAGUUCUUGAGGAGUCUUGUGCUGGACACCAACGUCUCCACCACUUUCGUGAGUUUGUGAUAUGAUCUGGAGCACCGAUGCUGCUCCCCUUUAAUGUUUAUGGUUUCGUGAUCUGUUUGAGCGUUGGGUGUUUAGUUUCAAUGAUUUCACUGGCUCACGAGAGCAAAAAUACGUGCAUUUGAUACUUGAAUCAUGACAUCAUGACAUCAUCGAAAUGAAUUAUUGUGAAAGAUAUUUGAUUACUGGUUUUAUUUGGUUACUCGCUGAGCUUCUAGCUCACCCCAAAAAUAUUUUAUUCCCCUCCACAGGGCUCAAGGCGAAGGCAGGACUUGUUGUGCUUAUUCAUGUGAAUGGAUGGAUUAUCUCGUGUGUGGUUUGAAUUUGGAUUUCCUUUUGUGUAAUAGUUAUUAUUAGGGAUUGUAAUGAAUGUUUGGAAUCGAUCGGAUGUGUACAUACGUUCCACGCUUGGAAUUAGUUUCCGCUUCGUUUUGUUUAUAUGUAAAUAUUGAAGAUUUACAUUGUAAUAUUUGAGGUUUAUUCUUGUAAUAUAUUGAGGAUUGUAGUGAACGACUGAGUCCCGGCGAGAGCUGGGCAGGCGGCCCGCCGAACCCUCUGGUUCGCCUCAGGGGGAGGUGGGGCCGUCACAUAGCACGCUAGUUUCGCCUUCUAAUCCGAGGGAAAAUCAAAGUCGAAGAAUUAGG
RNAcentral lists this long non-coding RNA (6018 nucleotides) under Coffea arabica (coffee). Its description in RNAcentral is "long non-coding RNA (CARA_LNC008192)". The record is from RNAcentral. Lineage: Eukaryota; Viridiplantae; Streptophyta; Magnoliopsida; Gentianales; Rubiaceae.